Cuculus canorus (common cuckoo) is the source of this 4181-nucleotide long non-coding RNA. RefSeq lists it as uncharacterized. The transcript has 4 exons. Lineage: Eukaryota; Metazoa; Chordata; Aves; Cuculiformes; Cuculidae. The record is from RefSeq and is a predicted model, not a curated record.
UGGUUUCUUACAUGAUUUUCCCAGCUGAUAGCUGAACUCUUACCUGCUGGUACAUGAAUUGUAACUCGCACAGGGGUCAUUGCAUUUUUAGUGCUGCUUCUUGGUAAAAUGUGUGUGUGUCAGCGGCUGGAAUGAGCAAGUAGAAGAGAAGAUACUGAAGAUUUUCAUAGACGUUUUUCUAUUAAACCUCUUACUUAAAUGUCCCUGAAGCUCCAGGCCCUGCCGCUUGUUUGGAAACCUCUUAGAGUUGCCUUCAUGAUUCUUUGUUAAGGUCUGGUGUGCAUCACCACGUGACCCCUGGAGGCUAGGGGUUGUCAUGUUCGCAUCGUGUGCUUGACUAAGUUUUUUUCUCCGUGCUUUGUUAUUUUUAAAAGAAUGCAGGAUGUUAGUCUGCUCACUAAUUGCUUUCACCGUCAAUAGGUGUCAUAAGCUUAAAGCUAAAAAUAGUCAGGAGAAGAAGGACAAGGAUGGCAAGGUGGGUGCUUCCAGCCUUUGUGCUUUCUCUGUAACGCUGAGCCAGUUGCAUCACUUGUGGCGUGGGCCAUCCUUCAACAGCUGGAGGCUGCUCACUGUCUUCCUCCUGCUGUUUAAAAGCAUUCCACCCAACGUUUGUCUGAAUAAGUUCACAAAGCGCUGCCGUAGUCUGGAAAAUGAAUGUAUCUGAGACAUCUAAAAUGUUUGCUAGUGGCUAUUUGGAAGCAUUCUGAUGCCUUUAAUUUGGUGUUAGAGCAGUGUUGGGUGAUCCCCAACUGUAGUGCAAGCGGUUCCGUAGUGGUAGGCUUGUGCCUGGGGCUAAAUUCCCCCGCAGGCUGCUCAGUGUCUGGUUUUGGACCUGCUUUGCAGCCUGUGCUGAAAAUUCAGUACAAAAAUCAGAGGUGAGGCGCUUUCAGAGCAUCAGGACCGUGUGCAACUUGAACUAAUGGAGUAGUUCAGUCCUAGAGGUCAGCCCCUGGAUGAAGCAGUGACUUCUUUAAAAAAGGAAGUUUUUAGGUCCCUGUUUGGGUCGUAUUUGGUGGUGGACUGACAUUUUGUUACUGCACUGAGGUGUCUGCUUGUUUUCACACCAGGCAUCCUCCUCCUGUUGAUGGUGAGCGUGGCUGCGAGCAGCAAGGGUGGCAGAGCUUGUUACUGAGGAUAAGCUGAGGAACCAAAAGCUUCUUGUAAAAGGCUGGCAGCGAAGCCAGCACCAGUUUUAUAACCAAAGUUACAUCACUGACUCUAAUGAGGCUCGUGUGCUCUCGGGAAGAGGUAUUCCCAUGUCUUUGUUGCUUAGCAGCAGGAGCCCCGCUGGCAGUGGAUUUGCACACCCAAAUCCUUUAGGUGCCUUUGAAAAUCUCCCUGAAGUUCUCACAUAGGUGGAAAGUCAUUAGUAGACACCUAGUGGGUUUUAGCUACAGCAGACAUCGUUUUGCUUCCUCGUGUGCGAUGUUUGCUUCCAGGAGCACCACAGAGGUUUGGGGUGCAGGCAGUGACCACCCACAGCUUCCUUGAGGUGGUCAGCCCGUGACCAAGCCUCAUCUCCCUCGGGACAUUGAGACCACAGGAAUGUUGGGUGGAGAGCUGUAGUUAUUCAGGGUGUUGAAACCCCAACCCACAACCCCUCCUGAGCCUCGGGAACCUGUGGUACAUUUGGUUUCAGAGAACAAUGAUUUAGUAGCAUCAUAAAUGCUAAAGGAUUGGCAAUCAUUGCUGCGGGAACUCAGCCGCCUUCUCAAAUUAAAGCCUUUGCACUUGGGAAGCAAAGGAUUGGCGUAGGAAGGAAACAUGGAUUUUAUUCUAAAUAUCCGUCUUCAUCUGCGAACAAUUUGGAGUGAAUGAAAAUAGCUUUUGCCUUGAAGCUGAUGGUGCUGAGCAGCUUAAUCAGCCUUCUGGUAAAUCACUACAAAUAAAGCUUGAAGGACCUCAGAGAUAUUUUUAGCCCAUCCUCUGCCUGCGGGUGGGAUGAACUCUGCCUGUCAGUCCUGACGCGCUUGUCCAACCUAUUCCGAAAGCCUCUGACAAUGGGGAUUUCACAAUCCUCCCAGGCAGUUCAUUCCAGUGUUUCACCCUCUGCCCUCUCAGACUCUUUUCUGCUGUCCAAGCGUUAUUUUCUUUGCUGUAGCUGAAGCCGUUGCUCCGGGUUCUGUCUGCACCGGGCUCAGAGGAGCCCUUACAGCAGCAUUUAUUGAGCUGCAGACCCUCACUUCUUCCCUUGCUUUUUUUCUCUUCUAGAUUUAAAUGAACCCAAUCCCUUCAGUCUUUCCUCACAGCCGCCUCGUUUAAAGGGAGCUCCUGAAUGGCUUCAGAUACAAUUUUCAUGGGUAAUAACGUGACCCAGGGAUGUGAGACACCAGUGAUUGGGCAGGAGGAGGGAGAAAGUGGAGCAGGAGCCGUAAUCGGAUGGAACUCGGCUGUGACAGGAGCCAGCCUCUUCUCGCUCUGCUUCUCCUUAGGAAGAGCACCAUCACCCCGUGCCAAGAUCUACAGCGCCUGUCUGAGCAGCUUCAGCUCCAUAUAAAGAAAGGGCGACUGAGCGAGGCACACGGUGUCGGGGAAGGAGACGCUGUCUUGUGGUGUUGCCAGAAAUACGAUGGUUGAUCACUUGUAAGUUUGAAUACAUUUCUUUUUUUCUUCACAUAAAAAAAAAGAAGUCGAGAAAAUAAAAAUAAACCGCACAUCUCUAUUGUAAAUUACAUGCAAAAAUAGGUUUAAAGCAGUCACUGGGGUCGUUACAAACCCACAGAGGCAAGAUACUCAAAUAUUGAGGGCGCUGCUGAACUCACCCGCCUGUGCUGCGCUGGGUGGGCACAACAGGGACACUCGAGCACAAAGCCUCACUCGAGCGCCUUCCCCUCAUUUUGAAUGUCUUGCUUUUGUGGAUUCAAGUCAAAACUUUAUUUCCACGGUGCUGGGCUGACCUUAGCACCAUUUGAAAAGGAGAAAAUAAUCCCACACCCCACCAUGGGCUUUCCCACAGAGAGCCCCACGGUGCCCGUAUUGACAAAUACGGCUCAAAUUCAGUUUAUUUUAGAGGGCAUUCUUUUGUAAAAAGAAAGAAUUCACGUCUAAGUUUCAGCAAAAAACAACAAAAAAAAGACGAGCAUUUUACCAAUGCUCAUGGUUUAAUAGAGGUCAGUGAAUUAUUUAGACACGCUAUUAAUUUUUCUGCAAAUAUAUAUAUUUCUAUCUUUAUAAAAUUACAGUUUCAUAUACCUACAAGCUCCUUCAUGAGCAACAAAGCCAUCAGAGGUGGGAUGAGCCCGGAUAAGCCGCCCCUGGGAACUGCACGUAAGCUAAGCGUUCGGUUAUUUAUUUGUUACCAUUAUUUGGGGGAAAGCGCCUGGUUAGAGAAUCUGGUUUUUUUCCCCAGUUUUAGCCCAUACAUUUUGUCUUCUCUCUCUCUCUCUCUCUCUCCUUUCUUUUUAAGGGUAAGCUUUUCCGAGGAACCAGGGGCUCUAACUCGCAUGGUACGUGGUGAAUGCUCGAGUCCCGCAGGCUCCUCUGCAAAUCCUCAGCCCCCAAAAGAGCAGACGCCGGCGCACCCUGAGCCGGGUGGAUGCCGAGCGGCCCUUCCCACGCACCCCAACACUUUUCCACUCCCCGGAGCCGCACGCUUGUCCUCCUGCCCUCCCACCCAGCGGGAUGGGGCGAGGAGGCACCUGCACAGCUUUGGGGUCUCAGGGCUGGUGGAGGAGCUGUUGGAGGAGCUGUUGGAACCUCUGUGGCCAUAAAUCGGUGAUACCCAUCCUAUAAACUCACCAUCUCCCGCCCCUUCCCUGCCCCAAAGAAACAAAACAACUAGCUGUAAUUUUUUACCAAGCUGCCUUUUACCUUUUAAAGACCGUUUUGUGGUCGGAAGGCAACUUGCCGACAGCCCUGGCUGGGUAGGUGCCACCUGGUCUCACGCACCCCAGUCCUCCUGCUCCAGCAUCACCCCAGGAAUCACUAUCGUGACUAUUCACUGUCGUGGUUAGCAGCACACUUGCAGCAGCGGAGCUCGGCCACGGUCCUGCUGCUCCCAAAGGGAAAACAAGAGUUUAUUUGAUAAUGGUUAUAGCAGAUACCAACUGGUGGGACCACCACCGGCCUCGUUGCUCCACCCACGCAUCCAGUGGCUUAUACUGACCUUUAGAAAAUAACUUACUAGGCUUUAAACUUGGCCGCAGCACAUGGAAAUUCAAUUUGUGGGCUAAAUGGUCCAC